RNA transcript from Mandrillus leucophaeus (drill), 1419 nucleotides. It is a transcript of the gene named heterogeneous nuclear ribonucleoprotein A1-like, with no coding region annotated. Lineage: Eukaryota; Metazoa; Chordata; Mammalia; Primates; Cercopithecidae. The record is from RefSeq and is a predicted model, not a curated record. The transcript has a single exon.
CCUUCUCAAAAAGGCCUUCCCUGAUCACUCUAUUUAAAAUAGCCUCUCCAGAUACGUUUGUCAGCUUGCUUCUUUCUGCCUGUGGACACCACCCAAGAAGCAUCACUAUAGUCUCUCUUCUCCCUUACGUCAUGUCUAAGUCAGAGUCUCCUAAAGAGCCCAAACAGCUGAGGAAGCUCUUCAUUAGAGGUUUGAGCUUUGAAACAACCGUUGAGAGCCUGAGGAGCCAUUUUGAGCGAUGGGGAACGCUCGCAGACUGUGUGGUAAUGAAAGAUCCAAACACCAAGCGCUCCAGGGGCUUUGGGUUUGUUACAUACGCCACUGUGGAGGAGGUGGAUGCAGCCACGAACACAAGGCCACACAAGGUGGAUGGAAAAGUUGUAGAACCAAAGAGAGCUGUCUCAAGAGAAGAUUGUCAAAGACCAGGUGCCCACUUAACUGUGAAAAAGAUAACUUGUUGGUGGCAUUGAAGAAGACACUGAAGAACAUCACCUAAGAGAUUAUUUUGAACAGCAUGGAAAAAUUGAAGUGAUUGAAAUAAUGACUGACUGAGGCAGUGGCAAGAAAAGGGGCUUUGCCUUUGUAACCUUUGACGACCAUGAAUCCGUGAAUAAGAUUGUCAUUCCAAAAUACCAUACUGUGAAUGGCCACAACUGUGAAGUUAGGAAAGCCCCGUCAAAGCGAGAGAUGGCUAGUGCUUCUUCCAGCCAAAGAGGUCAAAGUGGUUCUGGAAACUUUGGUGGUGGUUGUGGAGGUAGUUUCGGUGGGAAUGACAACUUUGGUCAUGGAGGAAAUGUCAGUGGUCGUGGUGGCUUUGGUGGCAGCCGUGGUGGUGGUGGAUAUGGUGGCAGUGGGGAUGGCUAUAAUGGAUUUGGUAAUGAUUGAAGCAAUUUUGGAGGUGGUGGAAGCUACAAUGAUUUUGGCAAUUACAACAAUCAGUCUUCAAAUUUUGGACCCAUGAAGGGAGGAAACUUUGGGGCAGAAGCUCUGGCCCCUAUGGUGGUGGAGGCCAAUACUUUACCGAACCACAGUGUCUAUGGCGGUUCCAGUAGCAGCAGUAGCUAUGGCAGUGGCAGAAGAUUUUAAUUAGGAAACAAAGCUUAGCAGGAGUGGAGAGCCAGAGAAGUGACAGGGAAGCUACAGGUUACAACAGAUUUGUGAACUCAGCCAAGCACAGUGGUGGCAGGGCCUAGCUGCUACAAAGAAGACAUAUUUUAGACAAAUACUCAUGUGUAUGGGCAAAAAACUCAAGGAUUGUAUUUGUGACUAAUUGUAUAACAGGUUGUUUUAUUUUCUGUUCUGUGGAAAAUGUAAAGCAUUCCAACAAAGGGUUUUAAUGUAGUUUUAUUUUUUUGCACCCAUGUUGUUGAUUGCUAAAUGUAACAGUCUGAUCGUGACACUGAAUAAAUGUCUUUUUUU